AAAAAAAAAAAAAAAAAUUCAAAGAAAAAUACAUAUCAUCAUCCAUCAAGCAUAUCAGCAUCCCUAGAACAGGAAGCACAUGAUAACAGCCAACGUGGAAACCGAAAUACCAGCCAAGAGCUUAGAAGAUGAAGAUCCUGGUGGAGGAGGGGUGUUAACGUUGGGGCCCAUUGCCCCUGGAGGAGUUGAAGGGCUUGUGGGCGCACCUGCUGGGGCAUCAGGUGGGCAAAGGGCGGGGGUAUUUGUGGGUGAAGGAGUGGUUGGUGGGGACAGUCUAGGGGUGGUGGAGGGCGGUGAGGCUCCUGGUGCACCUCCUGAUGACGAGACAGUGAUGGCAAGUUUCUGGCCAAAUUGACAAUGCUGGGAAAAUGUACAGAUAUAGUAGUGAUCUCCAGCGUCGUCCAGGGUGAUGUUGACAGGGCCGGCGGUGAUUACGUUCCCAAUAGAAUUUGAAGAAGAGCAUGCAUCGAAGGAAUCCUUCUGGACUCGGAGUACAUCGUGCUCAUUGGUAGUAAAGUUGAAAGUUAGGAUAUCCCCAACAACGAAAUUCUUGCCAUUAGCCCAGUUUGUGUAAGCUUGUGCACCACCCUGUGGAAUAGUCCAAUAACCUAUGUUAUCCCCCACUACAUGCACCGUCUGUGCCGCUGCACACUGCAGCAAAACCACAGAAACAAACCCGAAAGCUACACUAAUAAACCUUGCCAUUUUCUUUAAUUUUUUUUUUCCUUUUCUUUGGAACCUUUUCUUAAUUUCUGCUUGGAACUAU
This 766-nucleotide unclassified non-coding RNA is filed under the name Hevea brasiliensis (rubber tree). Lineage: Eukaryota; Viridiplantae; Streptophyta; Magnoliopsida; Malpighiales; Euphorbiaceae. The record is from RNAcentral.